This 610-nucleotide ribosomal RNA is filed under the name uncultured fungus. RNAcentral's name for it is "eukaryotic LSU rRNA". The stretch from base 226 to 379 matches the Rfam family "5.8S ribosomal RNA". The record is from RNAcentral. Lineage: Eukaryota; Fungi.
GACAAAGGUUUCCGUAGGUGAACCUGCGGAGGACAUUAAAAGAAAUUGGUUAUACAUUUCAUGUAUCAACUGAAGAAAAGAUUCUGUGUACCUUGCCUGUUGCUUCCAUGGAGCAGAUUUUGGUCACUCUUGUGAUGUAAAUCCCAAGGGAGUCCCCAUGGAAGGUCAUCAAUAAAACUCAUGUAUCCAAUGUCUUCUGUCUGAACUGUUUAUAACAAUUGUUAAAACUUUCAACAACGGAUCUCUUGGUUCUCGCAUCGAUGAAGAACGCAGCGAAAUGCGAUAAGUAGUGUGAAUUGCAGAAUUCAGUGAAUCAUCGAAUCUUUGAACGCACAUUGCGCCUCCUGGUAUUCCGGGAGGCAUGCCUGUUCGAGCGUCAUUAAAUACCUCUCAAGCACCAUUGCUUGGUCAUGGAAGAUGAGUAUGCUUGCUUUCUCCCUUCUGAAAUUCAAAGGCGGAUGAUCUCAUAUUCCGUGGCGUAGUAAGUGUUUAUCUUUCGCUUGGAGUGUCUGACAGUCUUGCCAUCGACCCCCUUUAUUUCAAGGUCGACCUCGGAUCAUGUAGGGUUUUCCUGCUGAACUUAAGCUUAUCAAUUAAGCGGAGGAACACC